AUACGGAGGGGGCAAGCGUUGUUCGGAAUUACUGGGCGUAAAGCGCGCGUAGGCGGGCUGGUUAGUUGGGGGUGAAAUCCCAGGGCUUAACCCUGGAACUGCCUCCAAUACUGCCAGUCUUGAGUUCGAGAGAGGUAAGCGGAAUUCCUAGUGUAGAGGUGAAAUUCGUAGAUAUUAGGAAGAACACCAGUGGCGAAGGCGGCUUACUGGCUCGAUACUGACGCUGAGGCGCGAAAGCGUGGGGAGCAAACAGGAUUAGAUACCCCUGUAGUCC
RNAcentral lists this ribosomal RNA (274 nucleotides) under uncultured bacterium. Its description in RNAcentral is "partial 16S ribosomal RNA". It matches the Rfam family "Bacterial small subunit ribosomal RNA", at positions 523 to 796 of the family's 1533-position model. The record is from RNAcentral.